GCUGAAUUAGCUCAGUUGGUAGAGCGGCUGCCUUGUAAGCAGCGGGUCGGGAGUUCGAGUCUCUCAUUCAGCACCA
This 76-nucleotide transfer RNA is filed under the name Vibrio chagasii. RNAcentral describes it as "tRNA-Thr". It matches the Rfam family "tRNA". Rfam says of the family: Transfer RNA (tRNA) molecules are approximately 80 nucleotides in length. Their secondary structure includes four short double-helical elements and three loops (D, anti-codon, and T loops). Further hydrogen bonds mediate the characteristic L-shaped molecular structure. tRNAs have two regions of fundamental functional importance: the anti-codon, which is responsible for specific mRNA codon recognition, and the 3' end, to which the tRNAs corresponding amino acid is attached (by aminoacyl-tRNA synthetases). tRNAs cope with the degeneracy of the genetic code in two manners: having more than one tRNA (with a specific anti-codon) for a particular amino acid; and 'wobble' base-pairing, i.e. permitting non-standard base-pairing at the 3rd anti-codon position. Lineage: Bacteria; Pseudomonadati; Pseudomonadota; Gammaproteobacteria; Vibrionales; Vibrionaceae. The record is from RNAcentral.